Molecule: non-coding RNA, 75 nt
Organism: Eriocheir sinensis (Chinese mitten crab)
Lineage: Eukaryota; Metazoa; Arthropoda; Malacostraca; Decapoda; Varunidae
Source: the annotation of a RefSeq genome assembly
GGCGACCGUGGUGUAAUGGGUAGCACGUCCGCCCGGCAAGCGGAAGGACUCGGGUUCGAUCCCCGGGCGGUGCCU